This 838-nucleotide non-coding RNA is filed under the name Pongo abelii (Sumatran orangutan). The record is from RNAcentral. Lineage: Eukaryota; Metazoa; Chordata; Mammalia; Primates; Hominidae.
AAAGUGUACUCACAUCUGUCAUUUCAUGUCAUUCUUAUGUAAAUCCUGUAGCUGGGCACAGCAGGAAGAAGCAUUCUCAUCAUGGGCACUUAGCUUGCUUGAGAUUACACAGAACCAUGCCUCUGGUUUCCUGGUACAGUGCUCCUGUAGGUGACGGAUGCUCCCGGGUGACAUAUCAUGAAUCUCUCUGAGGUAAGACGUGCCUUUUGCCUUCCACCUUCUGCCAUGACUGUGAGGCCCUGCCAGCCACAUGGAACUGCAAGAUGGCUGACUAGGAACAGCUCCAGUCGGCAGCUCCCAGCGAGACCAACACAGAAGGCGGGCCGUCAUCCUUAAGCCAUAAAAUGCCCUGUAUAGGUGGAACAGGUCAGAAGACUGAAUGCUCAAGCUGCAUGUGGAGUUAACAUGGCAAUAACACAGAAUGUGAUGACAGCAGACUCUAGAAUCUCAUGACAUCAGUUUAUAUUAGAACUGUUCUGUAGCUCACCUUUCUCCGAAGUUGGAAUUCACAUGGCUGUGGAAUGUGUUUCUACCUUCACUGUUCGAGGAGUCAUCCAACAAAUCCAGGGGUGGGAAAACAGCUGGAUGAGGACAAUAACAUAUAUGACACCUGUAUAAUCCUCUACCUUGGACCAUCUCUCUCACCAGCUGCCUUCCACACCCCUGUCCUACUAACUCCUUCUUUCACUUGAACAUUCUUUACCCCAGAUUUUUGCAUCCUUCAGUGACAUGGAAAAGCAACUGUUAAGAGACUUUGGCCUAAAGAUACAUUGAGAAGGGAAAAAAAGUUUAAUAAGUGGCAAAUGUCAUUGCCACCACAAAGGAAACAAGCCUCGUC